RNAcentral lists this ribosomal RNA (429 nucleotides) under Chloroflexota bacterium. RNAcentral describes it as "Chloroflexi bacterium partial 16S ribosomal RNA". It matches the Rfam family "Bacterial small subunit ribosomal RNA", at positions 355 to 776 of the family's 1533-position model. Lineage: Bacteria; Bacillati; Chloroflexota. The record is from RNAcentral.
UAGGGAAUCUUCGGCAAUGGACGAAAGUCUGACCGAGCAACGCCGCGUGAGUGAAGAAGGUUUUCGGAUCGUAAAACUCUGUUGUUAGAGAAGAACAAGGACGUUAGUAACUGAACGUCCCCUGACGGUAUCUAACCAGAAAGCCACGGCUAACUACGUGCCAGCAGCCGCGGUAAUACGUAGGUGGCAAGCGUUGUCCGGAUUUAUUGGGCGUAAAGCGAGCGCAGGCGGUUUCUUAAGUCUGAUGUGAAAGCCCCCGGCUCAACCGGGGAGGGUCAUCGGAAACUGGGAGACUUGAGUGCAGAAGAGGAGAGUGGAAUUCCAUGUGUAGCGGUGAAAUGCGUAGAUAUAUGGAGGAACACCAGUGGCGAAGGCGGCCCCCUGGACAAAGACUGACGCUCAGGUGCGAAAGCGUGGGGAGCAAACAGG